RNAcentral lists this ribosomal RNA (253 nucleotides) under uncultured bacterium. Its description in RNAcentral is "partial 16S ribosomal RNA". It matches the Rfam family "Bacterial small subunit ribosomal RNA", at positions 524 to 776 of the family's 1533-position model. The record is from RNAcentral.
UACGGGGGGAGCAAGCGUUGUUCGGAUUUACUGGGCGUAAAGGGCGCGUAGGCGGUAGCACAAGUCCGUUGUGAAAUCUCCGGGCUUAACUCGGAAAGGUCAACUGAUACUGUGCGACUAGAGUGCAGAAGGGGCAACUGGAAUUCUCGGUGUAGCGGUGAAAUGCGUAGAUAUCGAGAGGAACACCGGUGGCGAAGGCGGCGUUCUGGACUGCAACUGACACUGAGGAACGAAAGCCAGGGGAGCAAACGGG